AACCGAGAGGAGAAGGAAGACUUGGCUUCUUUCAAAUCUAGUGGCAAACGGGUGAGUAACACGUAAACAACCUGCCUUCAGGAUGGGGGACAACAGACGGAAACGACUGCUAAUACCGAAUACGUUCCUUAGGUCGCAUGACUUUAGGAAGAAAGGGUGGCCUCUACUUGUAAGCUAUCGCCUGAAGAGGGGUUUGCGUCUGAUUAGGUAGUUGGUGAGGUUAACGGCCCACCAAGCCGACGAUCAGUAGCCGGUCUGAGAGGAUGAACGGCCACACUGGAACUGAGACACGGUCCAGACUCCUACGGGAGGCAGCAGUGGGGAAUCUUCCGCAAUGGCGAAAGCCUGACGGAGCAAUGCCGCGUGAGUGAUGAAGGAAUUCGUUCCGUAAAGCUCUUUGUUAUGACGAAUGUGCAGAUUGUGAAUAAUGAUCUGUAAUGACGGUAGUAAACGAAUAAGCCACGGCUAACUACGUG
This 476-nucleotide ribosomal RNA is filed under the name uncultured bacterium. RNAcentral's name for it is "bacterial SSU rRNA". It matches the Rfam family "Bacterial small subunit ribosomal RNA", at positions 60 to 507 of the family's 1533-position model. The record is from RNAcentral.